UAUUAGUUGAGUAAAAUAAUUUGGUGAGUAUUUGGAGUCAAAUAUAUGCAUGUAAGUAUAAAUUCUCUCUAUUUUUAACUUGCAAAUAUUGGAUACUUGAAGCAAUUGUAUGAUUUGUGGUUUUUGGUAAUAGUGAGUGACUAAGUGCCGUUGAAUGUUAAGCUUGCGAAUACUUAGGAAUUAUCAUCAUAAUUGCAAGUUCUGAAAACGCGAAGUUGACCAAUCGAUCUAUGUAAUGAGAUGUAUGGUUUUGUUUUGUGCUCUUAAUUUGAUUUUACUUGAGGACAAGCAAAAGUUCAAGUUUGGGGGUGUG
Molecule: long non-coding RNA, 313 nt
Filed under: Erythranthe guttata (spotted monkey flower)
Lineage: Eukaryota; Viridiplantae; Streptophyta; Magnoliopsida; Lamiales; Phrymaceae
Description: long non-coding RNA (EGUT_LNC000879)
Source: RNAcentral